This 332-nucleotide ribosomal RNA is filed under the name uncultured bacterium. RNAcentral's name for it is "bacterial SSU rRNA". It matches the Rfam family "Bacterial small subunit ribosomal RNA", at positions 568 to 898 of the family's 1533-position model. The record is from RNAcentral.
CGUGUAGGCGGUCGGCCAAGUCUGAUGUGAAAGCCCGGGGCUUAGCUCCGGAAGUGCGUCGGAAACUAGCCGGCUGGAGCGCGAUAGAGGAGGGUGGAAUUCCUGGUGUAGCGGUGAAAUGCGUAGAUAUCAGGAGGAACACCGGCGGCGAAGGCGGCCCUCUGGAUCGUUGCUGACGCUGAGACGCGAAAGCGUGGGGAGCAAACAGGAUUAGAUACCCUGGUAGUCCACGCUGUAAACUAUGGGUACUAGGUGUUCGGGGUAUUGACCCCCUGAGUGCCGCAGCUAACGCAUUAAGUACCCCGCCUGGGGACUACGGCCGCAAGGUUAAA